This 450-nucleotide ribosomal RNA is filed under the name uncultured bacterium. RNAcentral's name for it is "bacterial SSU rRNA". It matches the Rfam family "Bacterial small subunit ribosomal RNA", at positions 354 to 796 of the family's 1533-position model. The record is from RNAcentral.
GUAGGGAAUCUUCGGCAAUGGACGAAAGUCUGACCGAGCAACGCCGCGUGAGUGAAGAAGGUUUUCGGAUCGUAAAACUCUGUUGUUAGAGAAGAACAAGGACGUUAGUAACUGAACGUCCCCUGACGGUAUCUAACCAGAAAGCCACGGCUAACUACGUGCCAGCAGCCGCGGUAAUACGUAGGUGGCAAGCGUUGUCCGGAUUUAUUGGGCGUAAAGCGAGCGCAGGCGGUUUCUUAAGUCUGAUGUGAAAGCCCCCGGCUCAACCGGGGAGGGUCAUUGGAAACUGGGAGACUUGAGUGCAGAAGAGGAGAGUGGAAUUCCAUGUGUAGCGGUGAAAUGCGUAGAUAUAUGGAGGAACACCAGUGGCGAAGGCGGCUCUCUGGUCUGUAACUGACGCUGAGGCUCGAAAGCGUGGGGAGCAAACAGGAUUAGAAACCCCAGUAGUCC